GGCGAACGCUGGCGGCGUGCUUAACACAUGCAAGUCGAGCGGAAAGGCCCUUUCGGGGGUACUCGAGCGGCGAACGGGUGAGUAACACGUGAGUAAUCUGCCCUUGGCUUCGGGAUAGCCACCGGAAACGGUGAUUAAUACCGGAUACGACAACUUCUCGCAUGGGAUGGUUGUGGAAAGUUUUUUCGGCCAGGGAUGUGCUCGCGGCCUAUCAGCUUGAUGGUGAGGUAAUGGCUCACCAUGGCUUCGACGGGUAGCCGGCCUGAGAGGGUGACCGGUCACACUGGGACUGAGACACGGCCCAGACUCCUACGGGAGGCAGCAGUGGGGAAUAUUGGACAAUGGGCGGAAGCCUGAUCCAGCAACGCCGCGUGAGGGAUGACGGCCUUCGGGUUGUAAACCUCUUUCGGUAGGGACGAAGCGCAAGUGACGGUACCUACUAAAGAAGCACCGGCCAACUACGUGCCAGCCGCCGCCGUAA
Molecule: ribosomal RNA, 481 nt
Filed under: uncultured bacterium
Lineage: Bacteria
Description: partial 16S ribosomal RNA
Rfam family: Bacterial small subunit ribosomal RNA
Source: RNAcentral